Molecule: non-coding RNA, 21 nt
Filed under: Caenorhabditis elegans
Lineage: Eukaryota; Metazoa; Nematoda; Chromadorea; Rhabditida; Rhabditidae
Source: RNAcentral
UCCAAUAUCAUAUAAGGAGUG